GCCUUGUUAGCGCAGUAGAUAGCGCGUCAGUCUCGUAAUCUGAAGGUCGUGAGUUUGAUCCUCACACGGGGCA
This is a non-coding RNA of Hyla sarda, 73 nucleotides long. NCBI's taxonomy places the organism in Eukaryota, Metazoa, Chordata, Amphibia, Anura, Hylidae. The record is from the annotation of a RefSeq genome assembly.